UUGGGACCUCUGGAGCUGGGGUUUUGCUCUAAAACAUGUUGAGUUUCUAUAAGUCCUCUGAACCCUGUCCUGUUCUUUUCUUAUUAUUUGUAAUGAAUGCUUCAUUGUAUACACGAUUAAUUAAAUUAUUGGCCACUGGUGAUCAAUUUAACCUUCAGCAUCUCUCCCCUCCUUGGGAGUUGUCUAAAAAGCCCCAGGCUUUUGAUGCUGCCUUGGUUUCCAGUGACCAGCCACCAUCCUGAGGGCACCAGUGGGCUGCCGGCCACCAGCCAACUCAGCAUAUAAAAUACACUUGUCGCUAGUGGAGUGGUGUACAGCCAAGAAAGAGCAUCUUCAAGAUUUGGUGUCCUGACACUGGACUAUGCAGUAUGAGGAGAAGGAGGAAAGUGGGUCCUUGGGACCCAGGAAGGAUCUGAAGGGAGAAUUGAAUUCCACAGGGAGAGCAAAGAGAGAGAUUUAAAUGAAGAGGAGGGAGGUAGCAAGCAGUGCUUUCUCCCAGAUCCUGGACUCAUGGCAUGGGAACAGCGAAUCAAACCUGCAGACACAUGGUGACUACUGGCGACCCCAGAGGCCUUCACAGAGAAAAGCACCAGUGGAAGGGAGCAAUGGACACAGUGGACUCCAGUGGCCGCUUAUCUCAAAUUCCAGAAACAGCAAGCUUUACACUGAAACUGUGCCUCUCAAGCAAUAACAACUUCCCUGGUGCCACCUGGGAUGCCUAUGAUCAAACCUGAGACAAGAUCAACCCUUGUUCUUCCCCCGAAUGAUUCAGCAACUACUGUUAGCACCUCAACAGGAGGAGUUCGGCUUAUCAGCUUCGGUCCUCCCUGGGUCUGGCCACACAUAAAUAAUUCUUAGCUGUUUCGCUACCACUCUCCUCACUGCUGUUGAGAUCUUUUGGGGC
Molecule: long non-coding RNA, 904 nt
Organism: Heterocephalus glaber (naked mole-rat)
Lineage: Eukaryota; Metazoa; Chordata; Mammalia; Rodentia; Bathyergidae
Source: Ensembl